GGAUAUGAGGGUGAUCUGGCUGUGACGUCUGUCACCUCCUUGAUCGCCAGGAUUGAUUCGGCUGAUCUAUCUGGCUAGAUGGAUCUCCCCUUCCACCUUCACUGAUCCAUGCGUCUCCCUCCCGAAGCUGCGUGCUCAAAGAGGACAACCUUCCCCACAUACAGGAGCACUGCUCUUCAGUCAAGGGCGUACGAGUAGCUUUGCUCCCCCGCUAGAACCUCCAAACAAGUUCUCAAGGUAGGGACUCACUCUAGCCCAGGCUGACCUGCAAUUCUCUAUACAGUCUCAAGGUGGCCUUGAACUCAUGGCAAUCCUC
RNAcentral lists this small nuclear RNA (316 nucleotides) under Jaculus jaculus (lesser Egyptian jerboa). Its description in RNAcentral is "7SK RNA (ENSJJAG00000005431.1)". It matches the Rfam family "7SK RNA". Rfam says of the family: 7SK was discovered as an abundant small nuclear RNA in the mid-70s but a possible function has only recently been suggested. Two independent studies have found that 7SK RNA binds the CDK9/cyclin T complex (known as elongation factor P-TEFb). P-TEFb activates transcription by phosphorylating the C-terminal domain of RNA polymerase II. Lineage: Eukaryota; Metazoa; Chordata; Mammalia; Rodentia; Dipodidae. The record is from Rfam by way of RNAcentral.